ACAAGAUUAGAGAAGUUGAUUUAACUUGGUAGUCUACGAGUGUUAACUAAACAUCAUGCUGGAGUGAAAAGCAGUAGACUAACUCUAGCUGCAAGCUAGCUAUGUCUUUUCUACUGUGACCCUUACUUCAAAUAAUAGUUGUAGAUUGCAUGACCCUUUAUCAGAGCUAGUACCCUUGUCUCACUUGAUGUUUAUUGUGUAGUGGAUCUUUACCGUCUGUUUUGUGAAGUGAUUGAUGGAUGAAGAGUUGCUGGAGCUGGCAGAUCAUCUCAAUGAGAUCUCUCAGAAACUCUUGACUAUUUGUGAGGCUGUUGUGUAUGUCCACAGAUCAGAGGGAUGCAACCACACCUAUACUCACAGUGACACUUGCUACCAGUCAACCAGUAAUAAUCAUAUUCAUCAAAUCAUGGUAGUAGGCCCUCCAUCAAAGCUACGACCCUUAAUUCUUAAUGUUUAUUGUAGAGUGGGUCUUUAUUGUCUGUUUUGACUCAGUGUGAUUGUUGCUUAUCCAUUCUGCAGUCUUUACCAAAUCCACCCACCCUAGUACAGAAUGUGUUUGUUGACUGAUGCAUAUCAUGUACCAUUUGUACUUCAUUUUACGUGUAUUCUUUACAGUAGGUUUUUCACCACGGUAGAGAGGUUAAUUGUCCUUGCAGAUUGUAAAACUACUGAAGUCAAAUUAACCGUACUGUCUGCAGCAACCAAAUUAAGCCACUAUAGUUCUAAUGAAUGUGUCCACUAGCUAGCUACCACCACUAAAAUGAAUCUGAUUAGAGCCUUGCUUCGCUCGGAAUUAUUUUUCGUAGGAAAUUUGUAGGGUACUAUGUGGCUGAGGGUGUGAGGCUCUACUCUCAGGAGACCUGGAGGGUGUGGUCACACAGACCAGGAGAGUGCAGCUGGUAGAGCAGCACAUCCACAAAGACUUAAGUGGUGGCUUUUGUGCUUGGAACACAAAUAUGGACAAGCUAGCCAAAUCCAUGAUAUUUCUGCAGCACAAAUUUUUCAAUCUCCUGCUUGGAGAGCUGAGUGGUGUGAGUGGGUGUGGUGACCGAAUGUCGUCCCUCCUCCCCCUCUAUGCUGAGACACUACAACACAGACACUACCAUCAACACAUCAACACACUGAGACACUGCUCAAACUGGUACUAUGUGACUGAUAUGAGGCUCUACUCUCAAGACGUGGAGGGUGGUCACACAGACCAGAGAAGUGCAGCUGGUAGAGCAGCACAUCAACAAAGUGGUGAACAAGGAUUGUCUGAGACUAUAAUUAUACGUGGGACGAAUGCAUUAUGCGUGUGCCAGUGGGAUCAUGAAGAGUUGCUCUGGACGACCAACCUGGAGGGAGCUGGGAGACCAUCACGAGGAGCUCCUGAGGCUAGUACUGAGAGUGUGAGGCUAUACUCUCAGAAGACCUGGAGGGUGGUCACACAGACCAGGGGACUGCAGCUGGUACUAGAGCAGCACAUCCACAAAGUAAUUUUGACUGAAUGUGCCUUGAGUGCCUCAUGGAUCGUGUGGUUAGAAUCCGGAAUGAACUACCUCAAGAUGCAUUCACAUAUCGGGCGUGUUAUUAUCCGAAGCAGCUCAAUCUUGUUGUGAUGUUCAUGUGAUGUGUGCGGUUGGACUUCUACAUAUCCCAUAGCCAGGCAGCCUGCAUCUGUACUGCAGAGCUAGGCACUAAGGUGAAGGAUUGUCUGAGACCGCACGUAGGACGACUGGUGAGUGUACUGUUGUAGUGUUUCCAUGACGAUGUGUGGAGCUUUAUGGUGUAGUGGGGUAUGGGAUAAAGGUAUGCUAGCUUAUAAUUAUGUACAUGUACAAGGUGUUCGUGAUAAGGGUGCGUGUUUUUAUAGACGUUGUGGUAGAUAAAUGCUGUUUUAAUGUUGCAUGUUGAGAUUGUGUGGAGUGUCUUUAAUUGAAGGUUUGACAUAGCAUUCACAGCUUUUACUUUAUGCUUGCUUUUAUCAUAUAUAGUUUAUAUAAAUGCCUCCAGUCUCCUGAGUUGCUGUGCUAGAUAGCCCAGUCAUACAUCACUACAUGUACAUGCACUGCAUAAUUUUUAUUUGGUUUCUUUAUAUAUGCCACAUGCUUUUAUCAUUUACAUAAUUAUUGGCUGCAGGUAUAUAAAUUAUAUUAAACUGCAUAGUUUCAUAAUUAUUAUAGUUU
Halichondria panicea is the source of this 2165-nucleotide RNA transcript. RefSeq lists it as uncharacterized. NCBI's taxonomy places the organism in Eukaryota, Metazoa, Porifera, Demospongiae, Suberitida, Halichondriidae. The transcript is spliced from 10 exons. The record is from RefSeq and is a predicted model, not a curated record.